GAUGAAGAACGUAGCGAAAUGCGAUACGUAAUGUGAAUUGCAGAAUUCAGUGGAUCAUCGAAUCUUUGAACGCAUAUUGCGCUCUCUGGUAUUCCGGAGAGCAUGCUUGUUUGAGUAUCAGUAAACACCUCAACUUCCAUAUCUUUUUUGAAAUGGGAGUUGGACUUGAGUGAUCCCAACGCUUUUCCUCACCGAAAAGUGGCGGGUUACUUGAAAUGCAGGUGCAGCUGGACUUUUCUCUGAGCUAUAAGCAUAUCUAUUUAGUCUGCCUAAAAAACAGAUUAUUACCUUUGCUGCAGCUAACAUAAAGGAGAUUAGUUCUUGUGCUGACUGAUGCAGGAUUCACAAAGACAGCUUCGGCCGACUUUGUAAACUCGAUCUCAAAUCAAGUAAGACUACCCGCUGAACUUAAGCAUAUCAAUAAGCGGAGGA
This 432-nucleotide unclassified non-coding RNA is filed under the name soil metagenome. Its description in RNAcentral is "partial contains 5.8S ribosomal RNA, internal transcribed spacer 2, and large subunit ribosomal RNA". The stretch from base 1 to 120 matches the Rfam family "5.8S ribosomal RNA", at positions 35 to 154 of the family's 154-position model. The record is from RNAcentral.